UGAUCAAGUUGGCUAUUAAAAUAUUCGAUUGAGGUAGAAAACAUAGAAAAGGAAAAUAAACAUACAAGAGGCUCGAGGUCGUCCCCAUCUAAUGGAAGAAAAAUAAAAAAAGUUAAAAAUAAAAAUAAAAAUACUAAGAGUUCUACUUUACGUCUCCAAUUACAAAUACUUCGGGGCAUACCCCUAAUAAUAAUAUAUACAAACUUCACGGGUCAUUCCCCGGAUAAAUUUAACUAAGGGACAACCUCUCACCUCGAAAGAAGCUAAAACAAGAACAUCCUAAAGGUUUACCUACCAAAAUGUGGUCGGCCUAAACAUGCUCCUAGCGGACAAGAUAAUGAAGUAAAAAAAAUAAAACUAAAAGAAAUCAAAUUUAAUCAUGCUCAUCUGUUUUGACCAUUUACCCCUUUAUAUAUUGAGUCCGCGCCUAACCCUAAAGCAUGCAUGUGAAACAAAUACUAAUAGGCUCGGUCUUUCCUUCCUAAUCCCAUGGCAAAACAAUCAUUCAAGAAGGUAUUGAACUCACUCAGGAGAAACAAGCAUCUAGAAAAGAAAAGAUAUAAGCUAGGAAAGACACGCAUAAUAGUUAAAACAAAUGAUGGAUCCAAAUAUGAUAAGAGCCUCCUAAAAUCCCCCCUUAAACCACGUCAAUUUCCAAGAGCUAGUGAUUGGCAGAACUCAUGUGUAAAUUUGCUUAAUCUCUAGUGAUGUUAUUCAAAUCCACAAACUGCUUUGGAUAUAUUUAAGUCAAUGAUGAAGAACAAUGAGCAUGAAGAUGUAAUUGUGAUUCACAAGUACGCCCAAAACAGUAAGAAACAAGGCAUAAACAUACUAGCAAAUCAACACGCCAAGCAUUAACUCACUAGUUAUUUUCAACAUGAAAGGAAAACGAUCUUAGCUUAGCUCACUCACAAUGAAGCUCCAACAGAUUUAGUAUUAGAACAAUGCUUCAAGCACUCAAGGGGUCCACACAUACCAACAUGUAAAGGAAGACUAAGCAAACUGAUUCUCAUAAACCUCGGUCAAAUUGGUUCAUAUUAACAUUCAUCUGAGAGCUAAGUAAAUUAUCAAUUUCCCAAUCCCAUUUAGCUAUGGCUCAAAUUUGGAUCCAACUCAGAACAGUAAAGAAAAAGAGAAGAAGCGAACCUGAAAUUUGAGAUUUCGAUUAUCACUUGAUGUUCAAAUGUGAUACAAGCAAAAAUUGGACGAUGAACUUAAUAGGGACUGAAUGAAACAGCGACAAUCGAAUCCGGAACCACGAUCUUAAACCACGAAUGGCAGCAGAAAUUUUCAAGCCCGAUCGUACCUCAGUCGAACUCCAUAUUGAAAUCAAAAAUGGAACAGAAAGAAGCGACUGAAAUAUAUAUAUCCUGUUUGGGAUUCUGAUCUCUUCCGAAAUGAAAACAAAAACUCGAACAAAAAUACAACUCAAACCAUUUUUGUAUUUUUAUUUUUUUGGAAUGCCAAUCAAACACCAAAAAUUAAAAAGAACUCAAAGAACCCUAGACCUUUUCGAAUUUUUCUCUCCAAAUUUCUCGAAAUUUCUCCUAUUUUCUGUCCGAAAAAAUUAGUCUCCCCCCCUCAAAACCAAAAACCCAAAAUCUUCUGAUUUCUCGCUUUAUAGUUCGAAAUCGAACAAAUGGAGGGUUUAGAUUGAUCUUCAAUCAAUCUACGGCUCCCAUUAAUUCGAUUCGAACUUGGAGAGCA
Molecule: long non-coding RNA, 1707 nt
Filed under: Nicotiana benthamiana
Lineage: Eukaryota; Viridiplantae; Streptophyta; Magnoliopsida; Solanales; Solanaceae
Description: long non-coding RNA (NBEN_LNC002850)
Source: RNAcentral